GUGAAAUUAUCCAUCCAACGAGAAGUCGACGGUGAUAUCGACGCAGGAUCAGUUGAGGAGGUUCUGCCUGGAAGGUUCUCUGUGUUCAAUCUAGAUCCUAAAGUGUCCAAGAUCUUCGUUGGCGGCAUACCUGCAGGCGUGGAAAUCGACAAGUCCAUCAGGAGCACGUCAUUCUUUGGACAAAUAGAAGACCUGAGAAUUAAUGACCGACCACUUGGUCUCUGGAAUUUCAUACAUAAUGGAACAAAUAACAUUUACCAGCGAGGAGCCUUAGAGAGAGAUAAGUUGGUUGACCUGAAACCAGUAACCGGUUUACGCUUUGAUGGCAAUGGAUACGCGGCCCUUGAUACCCGUAAUGGAUACCGCUUCCAAAAACUGUUCGACAUACAGAUAGACUUCAAGACGUUGCAGAGGACGGAAUUCUGUUUAUGAUAGUUAGUGAGAGUGAUCAGUACAUGAGUGUCUCUCUGGAAGAGGGCCACAUGCUUUUCCAGUAUGAUUUAGGAACUGGUGGUGCGACAAUAAGAUCAGAACACGUACAAUGAUGGGCAGUGGCACCACGUGGAAGUGGCCAGGCAGCAAAAGGCCGGCGUCCUGAAGAUAGCUCAAGAGACCAUUCAAGGAGAAUCAGGAGGCAGUGCAACACAGUUCAAAGACAUUCCAGAGGUCAUGUACUUCGGUGGUUAUCCAGGGAGAGCACGAGUUCACAGACAUCACCAAUGAUGAUUUCAACGGCUGCAUGGACAACGUUAUCUUGUCGUCCGUUAAUGUUGACCUCACAAAGAGCACGGAGUCCCUUGGCACGGUACCGGGAUGUCCAAU
This is a long non-coding RNA of Macrobrachium nipponense, 822 nucleotides long. RefSeq lists it as uncharacterized. The transcript has 4 exons. NCBI's taxonomy places the organism in Eukaryota, Metazoa, Arthropoda, Malacostraca, Decapoda, Palaemonidae. The record is from RefSeq and is a predicted model, not a curated record.